CAUUUUCCGGAGACGGAUUAUGGGGUAUUCAGAAGUCAGCCGAAGUCGUAGUACCGCAAGAAUGGGAAGGAC
Molecule: non-coding RNA, 72 nt
Filed under: Pedobacter nyackensis
Lineage: Bacteria; Pseudomonadati; Bacteroidota; Sphingobacteriia; Sphingobacteriales; Sphingobacteriaceae
Source: RNAcentral